GUCCCGGUGGCCUAGUGGUUUAUAGUAUGAGACUCCCAUUCCCAUUGGGGUGGGCUCGAGUCCCACCCGUACCC
Non-coding RNA from Caenorhabditis brenneri, 74 nucleotides. NCBI's taxonomy places the organism in Eukaryota, Metazoa, Nematoda, Chromadorea, Rhabditida, Rhabditidae. The record is from the annotation of a GenBank genome assembly.